Molecule: long non-coding RNA, 671 nt
Organism: Lemur catta (Ring-tailed lemur)
Lineage: Eukaryota; Metazoa; Chordata; Mammalia; Primates; Lemuridae
Exons: 2
Source: RefSeq, a predicted model, not a curated record
UGUUGCUUUUUAUUUCAGUGAGACAAAACUAAUACUCUGAAUGAGAAAAGAAUGAGGAUGGCAUUUCUCAAAUGUCACUCUUGAACCUCAGAUUAAAAAGAGAGAUUCAUCACAGAAAAGAUUAAGAGAAAAGAAAGAAAGAACAUUUAUGGAAUAGCUAAUGUGUGCUAAGGAUUCUACUAGGUGCUUUCAUAGAGUGUCUGGCACACAACAUGGUUCUGACAAAGUCCUCUCGGAUAUCCAGGGUGAAUGAGCAUUCUCCGAAAGAGAAGCACAGAUCACUGUGGGCCCAGCUCUAUGCCAGGCAUCAGAGAAGGUGGAAACCACUGCUACCUAAGCUUGCAGGACACUGGAGGGAGGAGAGUUUGUGAAGGUGGUUUGCUAGUGCAGGUCUGCAGUAGCCAUCCGGAAGGUGGGGAGAGGGAUCUGCCUGCCUAGCUUUGGUCAUGCUGUUGCCUCUUCUUAGAUUCCUCUCUCCAUCCUUUUCUGCCUCUUCAGUCCUUAUCUGUCUGUCAGAGUCUAGCUCAUUCCUACCUCCUCCAGGAAGCCUUAUCUGCUCACCUCAGGUCAAAAUUAUUUCUUCUUUUCCUGGCCAUUUACGGCAUUUGUUUGACCACACAAUCUAUCCCGUAAUACUGGUAUUUCCUAAUAAAAGCUAUCAUUUUGUUGAA